RNAcentral lists this long non-coding RNA (552 nucleotides) under Dasypus novemcinctus (nine-banded armadillo). RNAcentral describes it as "lncRNA (ENSDNOG00000051018.1)". Lineage: Eukaryota; Metazoa; Chordata; Mammalia; Cingulata; Dasypodidae. The record is from RNAcentral.
GGAAGGAGGAGGUGAGCGUGGUGAGUGUGUGUCUCUGUGUGCGAUUUUAGGUGGUGUAUGAACUCUGCCUUAACUAAUUCUAUUCUAAUCCUGAUGUCAUCAAGAAGAAAGUCUCCUCUUAGAGCAAGAAGGUCUCACCUUCUACUGAGAACUCGCGUGGUGGUUCCUGCUUCUGCUCAGCGAGGUGAGGAUGUUCCCACCCACUACUGGACUGUCAAAUCUCUGACCGCCUCUUCUCACCGUUGAACUCCCUCAGAGCCUGCCUGGGCUAUGCUACCUUUAUAUGGUGGUGGGCUGAGGGCUGGUGAGCAAUCCUUGGAUCAGGAAAUGAAUCAGGUUCCACAUCUCCUCUUACGUGUCCCAAACAAGUAGAUACCUAUGGAGCCAGUGUACCUGCCUGAACGUGUUUGGCAAUGAGGAAGCCUGAAUCUUCACAUUCAAGGACUAUAUUUGGCACCAGGUCAUAUGCUUUUAAUGACUCUACUAAAACACCUGACCCAGGGGUCAACCCAAAAUGAGAGAGUUGUUGUUUAUCUCCUUCUAAAUGCACCU